GGCUGACGUUGGGGUGACGCGCCAACUUAAUCACACCUGACGUCACGUCUGGUCGUCUUGGCUCACCGGUCGCGAUUGGCCAGGCUCGUUUGGGGGAUCCCCUGCUAAUUGGGUGCCCAGGUUGCCUGGUCCUGUUACCUGGAGUCGGAGCUCCGCCCCUUGGGGGGAGAGUAGUGGAGAGUCGGGAGUGUGGGGGGAAUAUUUCCUGCGCUGGUGGUCCUUGGAGAAGAGGAUCCCCACCCAAAAUAAGUGGCCAAGUCCCACCACCAUCAGCCAGAGCUGCCUGGACAGUGACACCCUACCACCCAUUGACAACCAGCUUCCUGUCUUGUGGAGUGGCAGUUGGUGGAAGCCAGCUGUUAUGAUUCAUACCAUUUAAGAAUUCUGCUUUUUGAGAAGUGACGCUAAUGGAGCCAGGCUGAAUGAUGUCUGAUUGGGAGAAUUUUCUUUGUGAAAGAGUGAGAAUUGUUUCUAGAAUGCAGCAGACCAUGAGCUUGGCAGUUCCAAGUGCACUGAAGCAAUGAGAGCUCCCUUCCUGGUCACAAGAUGGCUACAGCAGUUCCAGCUGUCACAAGCUCACACACAAAUAUCCAGGCUGACUUCACUCACCAAUUAAUUGGUUAAUGUUUGCGAAUGUUUUGAGAGGAUAAAAAGCACUUUCUCAGAGCAGUGCCCUAUCGUUCCCUCUCAUGAUUGUGGUUUGUCAUCCACCUGAAGUAAGUGGGCUCUGCUACCUUUCCUGGUAAGAGCACUUUAAUCUGUAGAGAAAGGAGGAGGCUUUGCAGCUGUGAUGCUAAAGAUCCAUUCACCAGGUUUAGAUGAGGGAGAUGGGAAUGCAACACAAUGAGAACAAUGUUUGGAACCUUCUCUCUGGAUCAGCAUAUUUUCAACUUCCGUCUGAAUAAUCCAUGUGCCCAUGGGUACAAUGGGUACUCCAGCAUCUAUGUUGAAACUCUCGAAAGACUGCAUGUUCUAAGCCCCUGGGCACUGGAGCUGCCAGAGCCUCCUUCAUCCCCACCCUUUCUGGAAUGGCACUGAGAAAAGGGAGUCAUCCAGAAGAGGUCAUUUAAACCUUUCUUUAUUUGCUCUUGAACAUUGAAACCAUUUAAACUAGAAGAAACUAAACUACUAUUUAUUAAAAAGUCUUUGUCCUGCUGAUGGAGACCUCAUAAGGAAUAUCAUUUGAGCCAUAGAAAAUAAAGAAUCUGCUUUUCUGGGUGCACAUUUGGAAUCAGACACCCCCUAUCUACAGAACCUCAGAAGGAGCCAGCUGGCAAAGCAGAAAGUGUUAGGCAGAGUCCCCAGCCUUAGCAUCGCAGGAAGAGGAGAUCAGGACACACGGGCAACACAGAUCAAGGGAAGACCAUGGAAGGAUGAAUCUACGCCAACUGAAACCUUGAUCUUGGACUUCUAGCCUCCGGAACUGGUAAAGAGCUAGGACUGCAAGUGGUUCACUGUGGAGAAGGCUGAAGACUUCUUGACUAGUGAAAGGAUGGUAAUGCUGAUAUGUUACAGACCAGUUGUUCUUCCCCUUGUGGCCUCCCCACAGUGUGGAUCCCAAUAGCACUCUUCAGUGCAGCCCUGGAAAGCAAAUAUGACUGAGCCCUCCACGUUCCACAGAGACAAGAAGCAGGAAAUUGUGUCAUGCUGAAGAACAAGGCCGGAUGGUGUUUUGCAGGUGCUUACCUAGCUGGAGGGAUGUAAAGGAUGAAGUAAAACCUGAGGGCCCACCUACAGGAAUUUCGCACCACUAUGGAGUGGAAAAAACUUGGCUGAGAAUUUUGAGAUGACAGAUAAGACAGCCAUGCCUGUGGCAUGCUGAAGUUCCCGGACUGGGAAUUGAACCUCUGCCACAACA
Molecule: non-coding RNA, 1858 nt
Organism: Sus scrofa (pig)
Lineage: Eukaryota; Metazoa; Chordata; Mammalia; Artiodactyla; Suidae
Source: RefSeq, a predicted model, not a curated record